RNAcentral lists this unclassified non-coding RNA (201 nucleotides) under Hevea brasiliensis (rubber tree). The record is from RNAcentral. Lineage: Eukaryota; Viridiplantae; Streptophyta; Magnoliopsida; Malpighiales; Euphorbiaceae.
GGCUAAUCGCUCUCACCUCUCACCCAGGCAAAUGAAUUUUCUCUAUUUGAUGCUACUUGACAUCAACAAGAGAGUCUUUCUAACUGUUUAAAUGAAUAUCAGGUAAACAGAGCUAUCACUUAAAGAGCAGUAAAAAUCAUAAUUAUCGCACAAGUAUAACUAUAAGAAAAGUGGACUUGCAUGAAGCCAUGACUGCACUUU